Cannabis sativa is the source of this 1364-nucleotide RNA transcript. RefSeq lists it as uncharacterized. The transcript has 6 exons. The record is from RefSeq and is a predicted model, not a curated record. Lineage: Eukaryota; Viridiplantae; Streptophyta; Magnoliopsida; Rosales; Cannabaceae.
GUAUUUUUGUUGACUGAGACUUUUUAGCUUUGCUUUUCCCUGUGUAGAGUCUCUAUUCUCUCUCUUGACAUUUUCAUUUUCCUCUUUCUCUUCUCUGCAACUUUCCUUUGAAAACUCUAAUUUUCCUUUUUAAAACUCUUUCUCUUCUCUAAUUUUCCUUUUCCCUGGUUAGAGUCUCUUCUCUAUUGCUUUCUCUCUUGCCAUUGCCUCCUGAAUCUCUUCAUCUUCAACUCCCUGCAAUCACCAACCAAUAAUGGGUGAUCUGAUUGAAAUUAUGGCUUCUACAACAGUUAGGAUGGUGCGCCCACACUGUCCAACAAUUAUAGUCUUUCUUAUCAAUUGCAUUAAAAUAUUACAAACUGUUCAAGAUUUCUGCAACUUCUAUCAGUUUCAUAUACAAUCAAGCUUUAAAAUAUUGCAAACUGUUCAAGAUUUCUCCAACUUUUAUUAGUUUCAAAUACAAUCAAGUUAUAUGUUGCCCUAUCUAGAGCAAAAACUUUAUCAGCUCUAAGAAUUCUCAUUAGACCACCAUCAGAGGCAACAAAGAUGAUUAUAAUUAUACCUUCAACAUUGUUUAUGAAGAGAUCUUAUUAUUAAGCAAUACUAUACAGAAGUUCUUAUAUCAAACAUGAAUCCUCAAUAUAAAUUACUACAAGAAAUUACACCAACUACUAGAGGAUGGAUAGCAAAAGUUACUGUUAUUAAAAAAUUUAUCCCACCUCUUUCUCGCAAUGGAGUAUUGUACCAACGUAUAAUUCUUGUUGAUAUUGAUGUAUAUUUAUUACAACUCAUAAAUCUAUAUAAACUAUAUAAAUUAAAUUUAAAUUUUGUUUCAGUUACAAAAUAUAAGAUUAUUAAUUAAUUAACUAUAAAUUCUCUACAAAAGAUACUUUCUUACAUUACUUUGUGUAUUUUUUAUUUAUUAUAAAUAGAAAAAUCGCAUACAAGCUACUCUGUAUGGCAAUGCAAUCAAUCAUUUCGGGGAUACCUUAAAUAUUUCACAAGCCUACUUAAUUUCCAAUGCUUAUAAAGCCAGUACAUGAAGAGUUUAAAAUUGUUGACAAUCAAUUUGAAUGGAGCCUACUUCUACAUCAAUUGAAGAAACAACUGAAGAAAUUCAAUGGAGCUUUGAAGAACCCUACAACUUGUAUUAUCUUGAUCAACUAGACGCCUAUGUUGAUACAAAAACUUCUGUUGAUAUUGUUGCAGUUGUGUUAAGUGCUGAUCCAAUAAAAAAAAUCCACAUAAGGUCUGGACCUGCAAAUAUUCAAUAAUUCCUCCUUGUUGAUCAAAGGUCUAAAACUAAUAUCUCUUAUAUUUUUUAGAAACUUACUGCACAUGUUAUAUUAAUAUUUUUUUUUUUU